Molecule: long non-coding RNA, 1370 nt
Organism: Chiloscyllium plagiosum (whitespotted bambooshark)
Lineage: Eukaryota; Metazoa; Chordata; Chondrichthyes; Orectolobiformes; Hemiscylliidae
Source: RefSeq, a predicted model, not a curated record
ACCUUCCUUCGGUUGACUUAGUGGCUCCUAUUUCCUGGAAUUCUUUUUCCUCUUCUUCUGUGUACACGGGGUUCACAGAAGAAGACUCAACUAGGGGUGUAAGAACCUGCAUCUUUGUUACUGUAUGGUUCAUAGCUGCCUCUUUGACUGUCUCGCCUGCUAGUCUGUUUCCCCUGGCUUCCGGUUCACUCCCCUUCUGAUGUCCGUUUAUAUGAACUAUCGCUAUUUCUCUCGGGAGUAACAGGGAUUCCAGCACUUGUUUUAUCAAUUCCUCAUGAGCUAGUUCUUUUCCUCUGCUAUUUAUCAGUCCUCUUUCUUGCCAAAUUUUUCAGAAGAUACGUACCACUCCAAACGCAUAUUUGGAGUUUGUACAUACCAUUCCUUUUUUUGUUUUCUAAGGUUCUGAGAGCUCUUUCUAGGGCAUAGAGUUCACAAGUUUGGGCUGACCAGCCCUUAAGCAGUCUUUCAGCCUCGAUAACGCUUCCCUCUAUCCCGGCUACUACAGCAUAUCCAUUGUGCCUUUUACCCUCAAUCAUCCAGGAGGACCCGUCGAUAAACAACCGAGCUCCCACAUGCAACGGGCACCUCAAUAGCAAUGAAUGAACAUAUUCCCUUCCCAAGAUGGCUGAAGGAUCUCCAAUUGAUUUCUUUCACUGCUGUUAUCAACUUAUUGGCUGUUCUUGUAAGAGAAAACCUCUCCUUAAGAUGUGGGUGAAUAAUCCUGAAAGGGUAUGGACCUCGUUUGCAUGAGUCAGAAUUUUGCAACUCAAGAAGACCUACAUGUGAAUAAUUGCCUGUGAAUAAUUAUAUUAACUAAGAAUUUCUGAAGGUCUGGUACCCAUCAUGAAACUGUUGAAUUGGCAAAUUAUGAUGCUUUGUUUUAUUUUGUCCCUUAACUGUGUCCAUCUGUUGGUAUGUAAGGGGGUUCUGCUUAAAGAAUAUCGGUUCCUAAUUAUAAAAACUAAGUAGAUUGCCUUAUUGUUUAUCCAUGUGCUGCUAAAGUUACAUUAUUAAUAAUAAAUUGUUAAUUUCUGUUAGGUUUCUGAUAUCUGUUAUUUUUAAAGUCUGGUUAAUAACAGUUGAGCAAUUUUGUGGUUUAAUUGAAUGAUUUAAUUUUACUGUGUUGCAUAUCUAGCAAUAGGGAGGCUGAUUUGGUUUGGCUUGCUGCCCCUGUGCCAUAACAUAGUUGGCUGGUAGGAUGAGGAGAGGAGUACUAAUACCAGAUAAAUCAUUUUGACCAAGUGGGAACCCAAUAUUAAGUCAAAACAAUUUCAGGAAUAUAGAAUCCCGACACAAGGAUUCCACAGAGUGUGGAAACAGGCCCGUCAGCCCAACAAGUCCACGCCGACCCCCGAAGAGUAACCCACCCA